This 200-nucleotide unclassified non-coding RNA is filed under the name soil metagenome. RNAcentral's name for it is "partial contains internal transcribed spacer 2 and large subunit ribosomal RNA". The record is from RNAcentral.
CAUGCCUGUUCGAGCGUCAUUACAACCCUCAAGCACCGCUUGGUACUGGGUGACACCUGGGUGCACCUCAAAAUCAGUGGCGGUGCCGUCUGGCUUCAAGCGUAGUAAUACUUCUCGCUACGGAGUCCAGGUGGUAUCUGCCAGAACCCCCCACUUCUAAGGUUGACCUCGGAUCAGGUAGGGAUACCCGCUGAACUUAA